CGCUCUGUUACCGCUCUGUUACCGCUCUGUUACCGUUCUGUUACCGUUCUGUUACCGUUCUGUUACCGCUCUGUUACCGCUCUGUUACCGUUCUGUUACCGUUCUGUUACCGCUCUGUUACCGCUCUGUUACCGUUCUGUUCCUGUUCUGUCAGGAAUCCUCUCUCUAAUAACUCAUUUAUUUUCUAACACAAUGUUGUGAGCAGAGAUGCAGUUUUCACAAAUUGGUAGCGGAUUGAUAUUUAUUUUUUAUUUUUUAAUGGUUCUAAAAUCGGAGGAUAUUUUCGUAUCUUGAUCUGAUGUUUACAGAACGUGAUGUAAUGCCGUGCAGUCAGUGACUGUCAGGACAUGUAUAGUACCAGAGGAGGGAUAUGGUCUCCGAGUUGGUCUCUUUAGGUGUCCUUUUAUGUGUGUUGAGUAACGCUGUUCGUUCCGUUUGUCUGUGUUAGACGGUCUUGUUGUUGCCUGUAGUGGGAGAUUUGAAAGGUUAGUUGUAUAGGGAGUCCUCUAGCCUGUUGGCAGUGUAUUUAGCUGUAGAAGAUAUUCCACAAGUGUCCCCGAGUGUUUUAGACAAGGCCUUUCUUCAUUGUCAUCAUCAUCAUCAUCAUCAGAAAUGUUAACAGUAGAAAGCUUCCUAUUUCUAAUGGACUGGUUUCUAAAAUCAAACAAUUUUUUAAUUGGCUGAAUUAUUAAUGAUCCUGAAAUGAGGCCCUCUUCCCCUCUGUCGUCCGCUCAUAUCAGCCAGCGGGUCAUUAUUGAUUAUUGGAACCGGCGAUUUACCGAUCAAGAAUCUCUCUCCCGUGUGCUCCUGCGUUGUUUCAGGGAAUUCCACAAACGGUCCUUCCCUCUUUUGUCCUGUGACUGCGGUGUGAACGAAACGGUCCUUCGGUCAUAUUUCAGUGUGUCGUGUACCAGCUGCUCUCUAAACGGUAGUGUCCAUGUUAAAGUCAGUGGUCGUAUCUGACUGUAUCUAACAGAUGGAAAUUGUCAUUUUGAAAGUAUCGAAAAAGGGGUUUCUGAAAUACAAAACGUGAAAAACUCGUAAAAGAACCACUGUUGCCACGAGGACGUGGAUUAUAACAUAUGAAAUUGAUGUUGGGGGUUUAACGUGGGGCGUAUUUCCUGUUCUCACUGCGCUACGCCUUUACGCCUCUGACGCGCCGUGUCAUUCCUGAAAAGCAGUUUGACUGUCUAACUCCGAGCGAACCUAAUUAACGUACUGUACUCUCUCCGUGGUGUCUGUCCAAUGAAAUGAGCAGUAGCUUGCCAGCGGGUUGGACUGUGUUCACUACCAUUGUGUAGAACCUAGACAGACUUCAUACUAGGAACAUUAGAAUCUCCUGAUUUAGAUUUAAUUUUCAUACAAUCUGAAUAUCUGUUUAUCAGCCACUGAUGUCAUUCAGAGUAUCGUGUUUUAUAGUGAUAUACGUUUUAAGGUGACAUAAAAGAGACCGUUGUUGGCGUGCUCGGACAACUCUCCUCGUGGUUUUGUCUUGAACUUUAAGCUUUUGGACGUGGAAAUGUUUCCUUAACAUUUUUAAAAACCAAGAUUUGUAACAAAUUUAAAUAAAAUCAUUAAAAAAAAAAGGAAAAUUGAUGUUAAAAAAAGGGGUCAGAAUGUGAUCCCGGUUUGCUGCCUCCUGCUCUGCUGAGCAGCGUCUCUGUACAGUCAUCUCUUACCACCAUAACAUGGUGUCAGAAGUGAAUCACCCUCAUCAAAUAAUAACAACCGAGUUCAUCUGAUAUAAGACCGGAAAAACAUCGUUAGACUCGACACGAGAGAAUAUCUGACAGAAAAUAAUACUAUUACGUGAGUUUGGUCGGGUUUUUUUUUUUUUUUUUUUUUUUGUGAAGGAAAAAGAAGCUGAAAGCUCUGUCUCUCUCUCAUCUUCCGAGCGGAGACGUUGCUAUGCAACAGGCAGAGAGCACAUGGAGCAGAAGCAGAACAAUGUAGGGCCCCAGAGGUGAGCAGGGUCCCAGAGGUGCGCAGGGCCCCAGAGGUGCGCAGGGCCCCAGAGGUGAGCAGCUAACAGAGAAAGUUAUUUCUGAUUUUGGGUUAGGACAGAUGCUAAAUGAAACAAAAAAACAUUUAUUUUUUGGUUAGGUUUUUUUUUUAAAUUCACAAUCCCAAUGUUUUGUUUUAACUUUCUCAACUCUACUUCGCUAGUUCAUUAAUCGUUUCAUCCUCUACCUAUCAUUUUGAAACCUUCAGGACUUGACUGCCCUGUCUCUGACUGGUCAUAUUUUCUCUGACUGGUCAUAUUGUCUCUGACUGGUCAUAUUGUCUCUGCCCUGUCUCUGACUGGUCAUAUUGUCUCUGACUGGUCAUAUUGUCUCUGCCCUGUCUCUGACUGGUCAUAUUGUCUCUGACUGGUCAUAUUGUCUCUGCCCUGUCUCUGACUGGUCAUAUUUUCUCUGCCCUGUCUCUGACUGGUCAUAUUGUCUCUGACUGGUCAUAUUGUCUCUGCCCUGUCUCUGACUGGUCAUAUUGUCUCUGACUGGUCAUAUUGUCUCUGCCCUGUCUCUGACUGGUCAUAUUGUCUCUGCCCUGUCUCUGACUGGUCAUAUUGUCUCUGACUGGUCAUAUUGUCUCUGCCCUGUCUCUGACUGGUCAUAUUUUCUCUGCCCUGUCUCUGACUGGUCAUAUUGUCUCUGACUGGUCAUAUUGUCUCUGCCCUGUCUCUGACUGGUCAUAUUGUCUCUGACUGGUCAUAUUGUCUCUGCCCUGUCUCUGACUGGUCAUAUUGUCUCUGCCCUGUCUCUGACUGGUCAUAUUGUCUCUGACUGGUCAUAUUGUCUCUGCCCUGUCUCUGACUGGUCA
Molecule: long non-coding RNA, 2820 nt
Organism: Oncorhynchus tshawytscha (Chinook salmon)
Lineage: Eukaryota; Metazoa; Chordata; Actinopteri; Salmoniformes; Salmonidae
Source: Ensembl